UUUAUUGAAUAUAAUUUUAGAUCAAUCUGCUCAAUGAAAAAUUUUUAAAUAGCUGCAGUAAAAGUAACUGUACUAAGGUAGCAUAAUCAGUUGUUUUUUAAUUGAAAACUAGUAUGAAAGAAUUGAUGAAAUAUAUACUGUCUCGUUUAUAUGGUAUGAAUUUAAAAUUUUAGUAAAAAUGCUAAAAUUUUAUUAUGGGACGAUAAGACCCUAUAGAAUUUUAUAUUUUAUUUAUUAAUUUAAUAAAUUAAAAUAUUUGAUUGGGAGGAUUAUUAAAUUAAAUUAACUUUAAUAGAUUAUUCUUAUAUAUAAGUAAAUUAAAUGAUUAAAUUUUAUUUAUUGAAAGAUUAAAUUACCUUAGGGAUAACAGCGUAAUAUCUUUUGUUAGGUCUUAUUAAUAAAGAUGAUUGCGACCUCGAUGUUGAAUUAAGAUAUUAAUUAGGUGCAGAUAUCUAAUAUAUAAGUCUGUUCGACUUUUAAAAUCUUACGUGAUCUGAGUUCA
Molecule: ribosomal RNA, 502 nt
Filed under: Xylocopa cubaecola
Lineage: Eukaryota; Metazoa; Arthropoda; Insecta; Hymenoptera; Apidae
Description: partial 16S ribosomal RNA
Rfam family: Bacterial large subunit ribosomal RNA
Source: RNAcentral